Molecule: non-coding RNA, 84 nt
Filed under: Streptomyces longwoodensis
Lineage: Bacteria; Bacillati; Actinomycetota; Actinomycetes; Kitasatosporales; Streptomycetaceae
Description: ZTP sequence
Rfam family: ZMP/ZTP riboswitch aptamer (pfl RNA motif)
About the family: Previously known as pfl RNA. ZMP is also known as AICAR.
Source: Rfam by way of RNAcentral
GGGGCGGGCCGUGACUGGCGCUGAGGUGGAGCACCACCGGGGAGCGGUCCGUGACCCCUCAUGCCGUGCGCCUGGGCGACACCG